RNAcentral lists this ribosomal RNA (741 nucleotides) under Triticum aestivum (bread wheat). RNAcentral describes it as "partial small subunit ribosomal RNA". The record is from RNAcentral. Lineage: Eukaryota; Viridiplantae; Streptophyta; Magnoliopsida; Poales; Poaceae.
GUUGCAACCAAAUUCAAGUAUGAAAAUAAAGGAUUAUGCUGUAAAAAAGGACAGAUAAGACUAGCUAAUCCAAAUACACCACCGGAACUUAUGAGGCUUUGGACAAGCAACGACUCUGAUGCAAGACAUUUUCGGCAAAAUAUAAGAUUUUUCAAUGGGCACUUCUCGUCUACUACACUAUAUUGCCAGCUCGACAGAGAUACAAAAGACAUGCGAACGGCCGGUAUUUACACCUUUCGAGCACAUGGUCAAAUAUAUCACAACAUACACUCAAUUGGUAAUAGUCACUCAGAUCCAAAGCAUCUAGAACUAUACUUCUAAGACGAUGAUCCAAGCUUAGAGCAUCGAUACCGCCGUUGCCGUGAGGAAAUGUACAAGCAAGACAAGCAUGUGAUGGCAAUAAUAACAGACAUACUACGCGGUAACCCGUACUCUCAGCAGUUUAGGAGUUUGGGACAAGCCCAAAACCUUGAGGACUACAGACUGAUCUUGAACCUUAACCAGAGAUUGGACCAAAGAACAUACAACGAGCCAAUCAAUUCAGAGGUAGCUGCAGUGUGGAUUGAAGGAAAUGAAAGAAGAGAUACUUAUGACAGAAAUGUAAUAUUACAUGGAAACAACAACGAAAAAGAGCACAUUCGAUCAUAUUACGGGUGCUAUGAUCCGUUAUCAUAUCCUCUAUUCUAUCCAAGAGCUGAAUUGGGUUGGCAUAGGAAAAUCCCGAAGAGGGAAACACGAUAG